Molecule: long non-coding RNA, 1090 nt
Filed under: Sus scrofa (pig)
Lineage: Eukaryota; Metazoa; Chordata; Mammalia; Artiodactyla; Suidae
Description: lncRNA (ENSSSCG00005013227.1)
Source: RNAcentral
CUCCGUGGAUCUCCUUCGGGCGGCCUCAUCUGCGGUGGCCCCAAGGUGCCAGACGCGGCAGUCGUCCCUCCAGUGAAGACAUGUGACUGCCGUCCGUGGUCUGCGCGCUUCCAGGCAGGUUCGCAGACAAUGAAGUGACUGGUUCCUCCUUGAAAUCUGAACACAGUUCUAGUUGCCACAUUGCUUUGACUUAGAGGAAACCGAGCUUUGGGACGGCAGGUGAGCGGCUGCAUGAAAGGACUCAGGCAGAGCCAGCGACCAAACACACCAGCGCACGGCCCGCCAGGCCUUGUCCACACGGACCCAGUGACCAAACACGCCGGCGCACGGCCCGCCAGGCCUUGUCCACGCGGACCCAGCGACCAAACACACCGGCGCACGGCCCGCCAGGCCUUGUCCACACGGACCCAGCGACCAAACACACCAGCGCGCGGCCCGCCAGGCCUUGUCCACACCCCCUGUGUCGAUCUAACCGGUUGACCCUGGCUUCUCACAGACUAAGAAGCAACCUUUAACAGACUCUUGAGUCUUAUUCUUUGAUUUCUUGGGCAUUUGAUUGCAGCAAAGUGUUAAGAGACAUUCCCGCGUCCUUCGUAACAGCCUGCAGAGUUUUCCUUUCUACUCUUUGUUCAUAAAAAUCUUUGUAAGAGACUCGAGUCAACACCGAGUCUGGGUGUAAAUCCCUCUUUGCUGCCUCGCGGCUGCCGAGCUGAGGCGAGUGGGUUGUGAGAUAAAAACCCCAUCCUUCCGCGCGGCACAGAGCCGGCUGCGGGCACCGCCGCUUCCCUGUGCUCUUCGACUUGCUGCCAAGAGCAGCCCAACCUGGAGCCUCCAGGAACCGCGUAACCUGAGUGCCUUCAUCUGUAGCCACUUUCCAGUCAGCGGCCCAAUACACGUUUUUGCUGGCUACGCUGCGUUCCUCCUCUCGUUUCUGGGUGGUGGGAGCGCUGUUGCUUGGGGAGCAGGGGUGGAUGGGGCGGUCCUGACGAAGGUGGGUUUCUGGACCCCUUACUAGCCGCGGGAGCAGCCUCCCACGGAGCUCCCGCUGCUGAAUGGCCCCAGGGCCGCGCAGCUUCCUGCUGCAGCGCCA